GAUGAACGCUGGCGGCGUGCCUAAUACAUGCAAGUCGAGCGAACAGACGAGGAGCUUGCUCCUCUGACGUUAGCGGCGGACGGGUGAGUAACACGUGGAUAACCUACCUAUAAGACUGGGAUAACUUCGGGAAACCGGAGCUAAUACCGGAUAAUAUAUUGAACCGCAUGGUUCAAUAGUGAAAGACGGUUUUGCUGUCACUUAUAGAUGGAUCCGCGCCGCAUUAGCUAGUUGGUAAGGUAACGGCUUACCAAGGCAACGAUGCGUAGCCGACCUGAGAGGGGGAUCGGCCACACUGGAACUGAGACACGGUCCAGACUCCUACGGGAGGCAGCAGUAGGGAAUCUUCCGCAAUGGGCGAAAGCCUGACGGAGCAACGCCGCGUGAGUGAUGAAGGUCUUCGGAUCGUAAAACUCUGUUAUUAGGGAAGAACAAAUGUGUAAGUAACUAUGCACGUCUUGACGGUACCUAAUCAGAAAGCCACGGCUAACUACGAG
This 497-nucleotide ribosomal RNA is filed under the name uncultured bacterium. RNAcentral's name for it is "partial 16S ribosomal RNA". It matches the Rfam family "Bacterial small subunit ribosomal RNA", at positions 28 to 507 of the family's 1533-position model. The record is from RNAcentral.